Molecule: ribosomal RNA, 882 nt
Filed under: uncultured Streptococcus sp.
Lineage: Bacteria; Bacillati; Bacillota; Bacilli; Lactobacillales; Streptococcaceae
Description: bacterial SSU rRNA
Rfam family: Bacterial small subunit ribosomal RNA
Source: RNAcentral
AACGCUGGCGGCGUGCCUAAUACAUGCAAGUAGAACGCUGAAGAGAGGAGCUUGCUCUUCUUGGAUGAGUUGCGAACGGGUGAGUAACGCGUAGGUAACCUGCCUUGUAGCGGGGGAUAACUAUUGGAAACGAUAGCUAAUACCGCAUAACAAUGGGUGACACAUGUCAUUUAUUUGAAAGGGGCAAUUGCUCCACUACAAGAUGGACCUGCGUUGUAUUAGCUAGUAGGUGAGGUAGCGGCUCACCUAGGCGACGAUACAUAGCCGACCUGAGAGGGUGAUCGGCCACACUGGGACUGAGACACGGCCCAGACUCCUACGGGAGGCAGCAGUAGGGAAUCUUCGGCAAUGGGGGCAACCCUGACCGAGCAACGCCGCGUGAGUGAAGAAGGUUUUCGGAUCGUAAAGCUCUGUUGUAAGUCAAGAACGAGUGUGAGAGUGGAAAGUUCACACUGUGACGGUAGCUUACCAGAAAGGGACGGCUAACUACGUGCCAGCAGCCGCGGUAAUACGUAGGUCCCGAGCGUUGUCCGGAUUUAUUGGGCGUAAAGCGAGCGCAGGCGGUUUGAUAAGUCUGAAGUUAAAGGCUGUGGCUCAACCAUAGUUCGCUUUGGAAACUGUCAAACUUGAGUGCAGAAGGGGAGAGUGGAAUUCCAUGUGUAGCGGUGAAAUGCGUAGAUAUAUGGAGGAACACCGGUGGCGAAAGCGGCUCUCUGGUCUGUAACUGACGCUGAGGCUCGAAAGCGUGGGGAGCGAACAGGAUUAGAUACCCUGGUAGUCCACGCCGUAAACGAUGAGUGCUAGGUGUUGGAUCCUUUCCGGGAUUCAGUGCCGCAGCUAACGCAUUAAGCACUCCGCCUGGGGAGUACGACCGCCAAGGUU